UCCAUUCUUCUCAUAGCCGUAUGUAUUCAUCUUUUUUCAUUAUAUACGACUUCCAUUUCUUUCUCUCAGACACACAAAUUCUGAAAGCAGCCUUGGUUACAAUGGUGAUAAAGAUCACCACAUUCACCAUCUUAACGGUUCUAUUAUUCGCCGUCUCCACCAUCGCGUUAGAUCCAGUCAUCCUGCCCGGUUCAGAUGUCCUUAUCACCACUGCUGACAAUCGGUUGCCAGAAUCUGAAAACACUCAAACAUUUGACGUUAGCACGAUCGAUCCAUCGCGGAGUCAGAUAAGCUCCAGAUCACAUCCGAUCAAGCUUCACUCUUUAGAUAAAACUACCCGGCGUCCAUGCCGCAAGUUUAAGAAGAUGUUCAUGAGCCCUGCCAAGAUAUUCUAUGGAAACGACAUGAUCUUAUCGGACAAAACCACGAGUGUCGAUGUGAAAGCAAUAAGUGAUCGGGUUCCAACGAAGUGGAUGGAGUUUAAGCACAAGUACGGUCAUCGCCAUCACCAAGACAAAGAUGAGAAACUCGAGACAAAGAAUGAGUUCGACGGGGAGAGGCAGAACGGUAUGACAGCCCCCCAUAAGGAGAAAAAGAGCGAACAUAAAGGCGGUUUCAUGAGGCGCGUUCGCAAGUUUUUGAAGCACACUUUUAAUUAAUAAGGUACGUUUGGUUCGAGUAUUUCAUGAAUCCAUAGAAAGUAAUAUGCUAUUUAUGUUUAGCCUGUGAUGUUUCAUCUGUAUCAUAUUAAGGCGAAUAAAACUUAAAACAUUUGGUCAA
Long non-coding RNA from Helianthus annuus (common sunflower), 780 nucleotides. RefSeq lists it as uncharacterized. The transcript is spliced from 2 exons. NCBI's taxonomy places the organism in Eukaryota, Viridiplantae, Streptophyta, Magnoliopsida, Asterales, Asteraceae. The record is from RefSeq and is a predicted model, not a curated record.